AAUCAGUUUAAAAAAAAUAAAAACCAUAGAACACCAAAAAAAACCCCCACAAAAAACAACCAACCCCCCAUAAAAGAGACAAACAGAAGCAGGAGAGCUGAGAGACCUAGCCGCCUGAACAAAUAAAAAGGCCUUUGUUUUUUAAAAGCAGCCACGGAUGUCAGAGAGUGGACAUUCACAGAUGUCAGAGAGUGGACAUUCACAGAUGUCAGAGAGUGGACAUUCACAGAUGUCAGAGAGUGGACAUUCAUUGGGAGAGCAUUCCACAGCCUGAGGGCAACAACAGAGAAGGCCCUGUCCCACGUGGACAACAGUUUAGCCUCUCUCAUCAUCGGUACACGGAGCAAAGGCCCCUCUGAUGACCUUGUUGGGCAGGCAGAAAUCCUUAGGAGCAGGUGAUCCUUCAGGUAUCCAGGGCCCAAACCAUUGAGGGCUUUAAAGUGAUGCUGAACCAUGCACAGAAUUGUCGCAAAUGGAAAGCACAAGAAGAGGACUGUACCACAUAUGUAUAUUUUAUUUAAAGCAUUUAAUUAACAUAUAAUUUUACUUUACUUGCACAGCUCCUUUGUGAAAAAUGUAUUUUUCUCUUGCAAACAGAGCAUAGCAGCCAGCUUUCUGAAAGGCAAAUUUCAGAUGUGUAUUAUUUCUUUGUUAAUUUCCAUACCUCGUUAUAUUAAAGUCUACUGAAAUACUAAUGCG
Molecule: long non-coding RNA, 699 nt
Organism: Hemicordylus capensis (graceful crag lizard)
Lineage: Eukaryota; Metazoa; Chordata; Lepidosauria; Squamata; Cordylidae
Exons: 2
Source: RefSeq, a predicted model, not a curated record